RNAcentral lists this ribosomal RNA (465 nucleotides) under Vreelandella stevensii. RNAcentral describes it as "partial 16S ribosomal RNA". It matches the Rfam family "Bacterial small subunit ribosomal RNA", at positions 338 to 795 of the family's 1533-position model. Lineage: Bacteria; Pseudomonadati; Pseudomonadota; Gammaproteobacteria; Oceanospirillales; Halomonadaceae. The record is from RNAcentral.
CCUACGGGUGGCUGCAGUGGGGAAUAUUGGACAAUGGGCGAAAGCCUGAUCCAGCCAUGCCGCGUGUGUGAAGAAGGCCUUCGGGUUGUAAAGCACUUUCAGUGGGGAAGAAAGCCUUGGGGCUAAUACCCUCGAGGAAGGACAUCACCCACAGAAGAAGCACCGGCUAACUCCGUGCCAGCAGCCGCGGUAAUACGGAGGGUGCGAGCGUUAAUCGGAAUUACUGGGCGUAAAGCGCGCGUAGGCGGUCUGAUAAGCCGGUUGUGAAAGCCCCGGGCUCAACCUGGGAACGGCAUCCGGAACUGUCAGGCUAGAGUGCAGGAGAGGAAGGUAGAAUUCCCGGUGUAGCGGUGAAAUGCGUAGGGAUCGGGAGGAAUACCAGUGGCGAAGGCGGCCUUCUGGACUGACACUGACGCUGAGGUGCGAAAGCGUGGGUAGCAAACAGGAUUAGAUACCCCUGUAGUC